CCCGUGCGGACGCGCGCCCGGAGAUACACCGAGGCGGAGCCGCUCUGGAAGGCGCAGGACAUCUCCACAUUCUGCCCCUCGGUCGCCGUCACGUUCCGCGGAAACUCGGUAAAUUUUGCUGCAAAACAGAAAGGCAUCCUGUUGGAAUAUCCACACCCCUCUUGCCUGAGUCUCUUUCCUUGAGAGCUCGCUACAUUUUUCCUGGACUUAAAUAGCAACAAAACCCCUCUCUUACAUCCUCGGCUUCGUCUGGUUCCCCCAGCCCCCUUCCUUUGCCUCUUUCCUGUCUAACUUUUGGUAUCAUACCUAAAUCACUAUGUUGUUGAUCAAAUCCAGAUAAUGGAAAGGUUAACAAGCUUGCCAAUAACUCUUAGCCAAGAUCCCCGCAGGUAGAUCCAAAUACCUUUUGUCAGAUUGCAGUAUUCCACAACAUUUACUGAGAGAGUCAGUGAGAUACAAUUUAGGCAAUCUGUCAAGUUGAUAAAUGAGGAGAGUCUCUUGCCUCUAAGUUUCUAAACAAUCUACCACUAACUGGAUGUUUCAUGUAACAGAGUAGAUCAUGAUUAUCUGUCAAAAUGCACAUUCCUGAUACAUCAAAACGGUUAUUAGCAACACCAGUGAAACACGCCUGCAGCAGUGAAACAAGUUGCACACUUUAUAAACUGUAUAUGUUUCCUUCUCUCCAAAUUAACCUUUAUUUGUUCCCAUCAAGUCACUGUAUUUUGAAUUGCCAUACAUCUUAAGAUGUAAUGAUCACACAUCCAGG
RNAcentral lists this long non-coding RNA (766 nucleotides) under Homo sapiens (human). RNAcentral describes it as "HSALNT0123013". Lineage: Eukaryota; Metazoa; Chordata; Mammalia; Primates; Hominidae. The record is from RNAcentral.